Molecule: RNA transcript, 2671 nt
Organism: Triticum dicoccoides
Lineage: Eukaryota; Viridiplantae; Streptophyta; Magnoliopsida; Poales; Poaceae
Exons: 4
Source: RefSeq, a predicted model, not a curated record
CAAAAAAGCACCUCAGUUUACAGGAAAUCAACCCGCAACCCUGUUUUAGUGGCACCCAGAGAAAACGUUUCACUUUUACAAACAAACCCUAUAGGCAUUUCAAUUCUGUCCGCAGUCCUUUCCUUCCUCUUAUCCACUCUGCGUCGGCGGCUACGCCCAUCCCGUCGUGCGCCGGCGGCCGCCGUGCCUUGCGCGGGCGGAUGGAGUGCGCUCGCCGGGAGGAUGGAUAGCGCGGAGAGGCGCGUUCGCGCUCUAGAUCCUGUGCGCGGGCCUCGCGCCUCCUUGCACCGCUCCCGCGGCCACUCGCCACCCGCCGUUGCCGGCGACCACAAGCAGCAACCGUCGCACCUCCCCGCGCGCCACCCGAGGCCCCAGCCACGCCGCGCCGCCGUCCUCCGCAACCCCGGCCUCCUCCUCGACCUCGCCUCUCCGUGCGAACAAACGGCGUCGCCGCCGGCGGCCAAGGCCACCGUGCUUGAGCUGACGGGCGCCGACCUCAUGAGGCUCAUCUCCGAGGUGUUCGCCGUGCUGGCCGACAUCAGCUGCAGCAUCGUGAUGCCAGGGCGUGGUCGCAUCGCGGCCGCCUCGCCUGCCUCGUCUACCUGCGGGACGAGGAUGUGGCCGCUGCCGGUGUGGAGCGCAUCGAGGCCCGCCUCGCCCCCCUCCUCCGCGGAGACUCGGAAGCCAGCGGUCACCAAAACUUCUGCUCCCAAGGCCCCCUUUUCCAUCCGCCGUCACCGCGCUCCGAGCGUGAAAUCCUCAGCUUCAGGCUGCCGUCAGAGGAGCCGCCUCCGGAGAGGAACGACGGGGCUUGGAUGAGCAUGUGGAAGGUGCGGACCUGCACGAGGCGCCGACCAAGACGGGCUGUUCUUAUCCGUUGCCUACUUCCUAAGCAACUCCGUCUCCAUCGAGCUUCUUUUUUCCGUUGCCAAUAGUCAUCUCCUCCUUAAGAUGGGGAUUAGAAGCCGGCAGGAAAACUAUGGUUCCCGGAUGAAAAAGAGGCGCAUAAAAGUUGCAAAUUUUGAAUAGCAAUUCCUAUGUAUAUAUGAAUGUGCUAAUGGAGGGCUGUGUUGCAGGACUGAUUGGAGGCAACCAAAUCUUGGAGAAUGAUGGAAGAUAAUGGACUCCAGCUUUUAGGAAUGUUAUAUAAGGAUCCAAUUUCAAGCUUUGGACUGUUCCAUAAAUUUGCUGUUGAGAAUCAGGAGCCUCCUAGGUGAUCAUUGCAUAGGUCUACUGGAAAUUGGUGCCAGAGGAGCUCUCGAUGAAGUUCCUACGAGAACCAAAAUCAAUUCUAGAUGCAUCAGAUAUAUCAAUGGAGGAAGCAUGGUUCCCAGGUGCAGUGCUAACAUUGCUGAAUGUUGUCUGCUACCAUAGCCUUCCUAAAACAGGACAACACAAUUAUUAUCUGGAGGGACGAGGGAUCUGAUGAUUAUCCAGUGAACUGUAUGUCUUUGUAGGACCUUCGCACUCAACUGAUGUAUGCAUCUGUUAUCAAACUGAGAGUAGGAGGUAUGCAUAAACCUUUAAUUUUGGGAGACAUAACCACUCUUCGAAUCUUAGCCAGAUUCUUCCAUCUCUAGGAUUUAACUUUCUGUGAAAAGAAUUUCAUGAACACGCAAAGAUUGCCAACUAAACUUUGUACAAAAAAGGUAGACGUGAUAAAUCUAUUUAUCUCUCGCCGAACUACUCUGAAUUUUGUGGUACCUGGUGAAGAUUAAGAAAAUAUAUGCCCUGCUAUAUUUAGUGAUAAAUAAGAUACCAAAUGUGACUAAAUAGUUCUGCUUAAGCGUAUGUACCUGCACUCUUUUCAUAUGGUAUUGUCAAAACUUCGGCUGAGAAUAUAUUAAUAGUUGUUUCAAAAUGUUUCCUGUUCAGUCAAGACCUUUGGGACAUUACCAAACGCUAUUGGACAAGAAGAUUGAUGGUUUUCAGCAAGUAAGAUAAUAGUUCAAGUAUCGAAGGGACGUACGACUUUUGGUGCAUUGUUAGGAAAAUUGUAUUGAGUGUAUUUCACGUUUCUGCUCUGUCUCCAUUUUGCUAUGUCCUUGAAGUUCUUAUGUCACUUGCUAUUUUGAGUGCCCACUAUCAUCUGAACAUGAAGUAACAUGAGAAGUCAAAGUUUUGUGCAUGCCUUUUCUUUAAUAUGUUCAGAUUUAUAGCUCAUGAGAGUAAUGCUUAAGAUUGAUAUUUUAGAUACCAUUUUUGUAUUUAAAGUGCAGGCCGAAUUUCUUACUCCUAUAACUAAACCAAUAUAUGCUAGCUACUUUGUGUCAGGCGUACUUUUUGGUUUCGUUCAUGGUGCAGGUUAGCUGGUUAUUUACAAGUGUGUGGAGCAUCCAAAAUUCAAGUAAGAACACCAUGCUUCCUUGGUGUGUCCAUAAAUAUAUCUCCAUGCUGGAGCUGUCAGAUGAGUACGGGUCAAAUGAAGAAUGACAAAAACGCCCAUGACUAUUUCAAACUGUUUUAUUUUUCCUACAUUCAGCCAACCGGAGUAUCCUGCUCUCCCUUCUAUAGGUUCUACAGUACAUCUAAAUCCUUAUUCUGUCGAAUCAGGUACUUGCAUUCUAUUGUUCAAGAUGUGUAAUUUUUCUGUUGAUUAACAAAAUCAUUGACUUAUGAAAGAACUCUUAUUGACGAAAGUGUACAUGCAAUGAGUUAUGCAGUUCACAUA